RNAcentral lists this ribosomal RNA (339 nucleotides) under Triticum aestivum (bread wheat). RNAcentral's name for it is "partial small subunit ribosomal RNA". The record is from RNAcentral. Lineage: Eukaryota; Viridiplantae; Streptophyta; Magnoliopsida; Poales; Poaceae.
AUGAUGGGAGGUGGCGAUCUACUGGUCCAUCCUCAUGAUGCAGCGCAGGCCCUCCCCCUUGAGCAUGAGGUCGAAUGCCGUGUUGAUCUGCGAGAAGGGCACGCUAUGCGUGAUGAACUUCUCCAGCUCCAGCUCCUUCCUCAUGUACAUCUCCACGACUUCCGGGAGGUCGGUGCGCGGCUUGUAGUUGCCGAAGAAGGUGCCUUUGAGGGUCCUCUCGUUGAGGAAGUUCAUUGGGUAGGUCUUGAACACCGCCUCCUUGUGCGGCACGCCCACCAGCACAGCCACGCCCCACCCCUGCAUCCACCAGAUUGCAACAUUCAGUCUAAACUCUUGUAA